RNAcentral lists this ribosomal RNA (1492 nucleotides) under Lacticaseibacillus paracasei. RNAcentral describes it as "bacterial SSU rRNA". It matches the Rfam family "Bacterial small subunit ribosomal RNA". Lineage: Bacteria; Bacillati; Bacillota; Bacilli; Lactobacillales; Lactobacillaceae. The record is from RNAcentral.
GAUGAACGCUGGCGGCGUGCCUAAUACAUGCAAGUCGAACGAGCUCUCGUUGAUGAUCGGUGCUUGCACCGAGAUUCAACAUGGAACGAGUGGCGGACGGGUGAGUAACACGUGGGUAACCUGCCCUUAAGUGGGGGAUAACAUUUGGAAACAGAUGCUAAUACCGCAUAGAUCCAAGAACCGCAUGGUUCUUGGCUGAAAGAUGGCGUAAGCUAUCGCUUUUGGAUGGACCCGCGGCGUAUUAGCUAGUUGGUGAGGUAAUGGCUCACCAAGGCGAUGAUACGUAGCCGAACUGAGAGGUUGAUCGGCCACAUUGGGACUGAGACACGGCCCAAACUCCUACGGGAGGCAGCAGUAGGGAAUCUUCCACAAUGGACGCAAGUCUGAUGGAGCAACGCCGCGUGAGUGAAGAAGGCUUUCGGGUCGUAAAACUCUGUUGUUGGAGAAGAAUGGUCGGCAGAGUAACUGUUGUCGGCGUGACGGUAUCCAACCAGAAAGCCACGGCUAACUACGUGCCAGCAGCCGCGGUAAUACGUAGGUGGCAAGCGUUAUCCGGAUUUAUUGGGCGUAAAGCGAGCGCAGGCGGUUUUUUAAGUCUGAUGUGAAAGCCCUCGGCUUAACCGAGGAAGCGCAUCGGAAACUGGGAAACUUGAGUGCAGAAGAGGACAGUGGAACUCCAUGUGUAGCGAUGAAAUGCGUAGAUAUAUGGAAGAACACCAGUGGCGAAGGCGGCUGUCUGGUCUGUAACUGACGCUGAGGCUCGAAAGCAUGGGUAGCGAACAGGAUUAGAUACCCUGGUAGUCCAUGCCGUAAACGAUGAAUGCUAGGUGUUGGAGGGUUUCCGCCCUUCAGUGCCGCAGCUAACGCAUUAAGCAUUCCGCCUGGGGAGUACGACCGCAAGGUUGAAACUCAAAGGAAUUGACGGGGGCCCGCACAAGCGGUGGAGCAUGUGGUUUAAUUCGAAGCAACGCGAAGAACCUUACCAGGUCUUGACAUCUUUUGAUCACCUGAGAGAUCAGGUUUCCCCUUCGGGGGCAAAAUGACAGGUGGUGCAUGGUUGUCGUCAGCUCGUGUCGUGAGAUGUUGGGUUAAGUCCCGCAACGAGCGCAACCCUUAUGACUAGUUGCCAGCAUUUAGUUGGGCACUCUAGUAAGACUGCCGGUGACAAACCGGAGGAAGGUGGGGAUGACGUCAAAUCAUCAUGCCCCUUAUGACCUGGGCUACACACGUGCUACAAUGGAUGGUACAACGAGUUGCGAGACCGCGAGGUCAAGCUAAUCUCUUAAAGCCAUUCUCAGUUCGGACUGUAGGCUGCAACUCGCCUACACGAAGUCGGAAUCGCUAGUAAUCGCGGAUCAGCACGCCGCGGUGAAUACGUUCCCGGGCCUUGUACACACCGCCCGUCACACCAUGAGAGUUUGUAACACCCGAAGCCGGUGGCGUAACCCUUUUAGGGAGCGAGCCGUCUAAGGUGGGACAAAUGAUUAGGGUG